Molecule: ribosomal RNA, 433 nt
Filed under: uncultured bacterium
Lineage: Bacteria
Description: partial 16S ribosomal RNA
Rfam family: Bacterial small subunit ribosomal RNA
Source: RNAcentral
AACGAACGCUGGCGGCAGGCUUAACACAUGCAAGUCGAACGCACCUUUCGGGGUGAGUGGCAGACGGGUGAGUAACGCGUGGGAAUCUACCCUUCUCUACGGGAUAGCUCCGGGAAACUGGAAUUAAUACCGUAUACGUCCUGAGGGAGAAAGAUUUAACGGGGAAGGAUGAGCCCGCGUUGGAUUAGCUAGUUGGUGGGGUAAAGGCCUACCAAGGCGACGAUCCAUAGCUGGUCUAAGAGGAAGAUCAGCCACACUGGGACGGAGACACGGUCCAAAAUCCUACGGGAGGCAGCAGUGGGGAAUAUUGGACAAUGGGGGCAAGGCUGAUCCAGCCAGGCCGCGUGAGUGAUGAAGGCCCUAGGGUUGUAAAGCUCUUUCAGGGGGGACGAUAAUGACGGUACCCACAGAAGAAGCCCCGGCUAACUUCGUG